This 73-nucleotide transfer RNA is filed under the name Crassvirales sp. RNAcentral describes it as "tRNA-Trp". It matches the Rfam family "tRNA". Rfam says of the family: Transfer RNA (tRNA) molecules are approximately 80 nucleotides in length. Their secondary structure includes four short double-helical elements and three loops (D, anti-codon, and T loops). Lineage: Duplodnaviria; Heunggongvirae; Uroviricota; Caudoviricetes; Crassvirales. The record is from RNAcentral. RNAcentral also lists the same sequence under 1 other name.
UGGGUCAUAGUUCAAUUGGUAGAACACUGGUCUCCAAAACCAGUUGUUGUGGGUUCAAAUCCUGCUGACUCAG